Molecule: RNA transcript, 775 nt
Organism: Cucumis sativus (cucumber)
Lineage: Eukaryota; Viridiplantae; Streptophyta; Magnoliopsida; Cucurbitales; Cucurbitaceae
Gene name: callose synthase 5-like
Exons: 5
Source: RefSeq, a predicted model, not a curated record
UAUGGGUCCUCGAAAAUGUUCUGCUCAGUUUUCCUGAUAAUUUAUGUUCCAGACUUAUGAUGGAAUGAUUAUUGGAGAACAUUCUAGGGAAUCAGAUCUAGAUGUUAAUCUUGUAAGAACUAAAGAAAACUUACCAAUAUCCGUUCUGCUUGCAAAGAUGAAAACAUGAAGCUAUCUCCACCUCGACUUAGAUGAGUCUUGAAGAAGCGAUAGGAUACGUUGCAUCUGAUGAACUUAUUAAGGGAGAUGGAUCUCUUGCUAGUUCCUUAUUCCUCAGAUCCCAGCCUAAAAAUAAUCCAAAGGCCUCCCUUUUUACUAGCCAGCAAGAUUCCAAUAGCAUUGGAUAUGGCUGUUGAAUUUCGAUCCAGAGAUUCUGACCUAUGGAAGCACAUUUAUGCAGAUGAGUACAUGAAAUGUGAAGUGAUAGAGUGUUGUGAAUCUUUAAAAAAUGUCCUGAAUGUUCUGGCAGUUGGAGAAAAUGAGAAAAGGUUUCAAGCUAACAUUCCUACUUAUUGAACCAAACAUCAUCAAAUAAUCAUAGUUCUUUCGUUUUUGUCAGUUGCAGUUUUUUUUUUUUUUUUUUGUCGACUUUGACACUUGAACAAGUUUUUUGUUUUUAUGAGGAUAUAUUAAGAAUCUUGCUUUUAAGGCUUCCUCUUUUCUCUCUCGCUUUAUUUAAAUGAUAGUAAAUUGUUCAAAUUAGUUUAUUACAACAAUGAUUUGUAUGUAGUUUCAUUUAUAAUGUCAAUAUAUCAAAAUUCUUGAUUAAUGUCAA